GGGGGUGUAGCUCAGUUGGGAGAGCACUUGCUUUGCACGCAAGGGGUCAUCGGUUCAAGUCCGUUCACCUCCA
This 73-nucleotide transfer RNA is filed under the name Planctomycetaceae bacterium. RNAcentral's name for it is "tRNA-Ala". It matches the Rfam family "tRNA". From Rfam's summary of the family: Transfer RNA (tRNA) molecules are approximately 80 nucleotides in length. The record is from RNAcentral. RNAcentral also lists the same sequence under 2 other names. Lineage: Bacteria; Pseudomonadati; Planctomycetota; Planctomycetia; Planctomycetales; Planctomycetaceae.